RNAcentral lists this ribosomal RNA (563 nucleotides) under uncultured bacterium. RNAcentral describes it as "partial 16S ribosomal RNA". It matches the Rfam family "Bacterial small subunit ribosomal RNA", at positions 355 to 908 of the family's 1533-position model. The record is from RNAcentral.
UGGGGAAUUUUGGACAAUUGGGGGCAACCCUGAUCCAGCCAUCCCGCGUGUGCGAUGAAGGCCUUCGGGUUGUAAAGCACUUUUGGCAGGGAAGAAACAGCCUGGGAUAAUACCCCGGGCGACUGACGGUACCUGCAGAAUAAGCACCGGCUAACUACGUGCCAGCAGCCGCGGUAAUACGUAGGGUGCAAGCGUUAAUCGGAAUUACUGGGCGUAAAGCGUGCGCAGGCGGUUCGGAAAGAAAGGUGUGAAAUCCCAGGGCUUAACCUUGGAACUGCACUUUUAACUACCGAGCUAGAGUACGUCAGAGGGGGGUAGAAUUCCACGUGUAGCAGUGAAAUGCGUAGAGAUGUGGAGGAAUACCGAUGGCGAAGGCAGCCCCUGGGAUGAUACUGACGCUCAUGCACGAAAGCGUGGGGAGCAAACAGGAUUUAGAUACCCUGGUAGUCCACGCCCUAAACGAUGUCAACUAGCUGUUGGGGUUUUAAUUAACCUUAGUAGCGCAGCUAACGCGUGAAGUUGACCGCCUGGGGAGUACGGUCGCAAGAUUAAAACUCAAAGGG